RNAcentral lists this ribosomal RNA (269 nucleotides) under uncultured prokaryote. Its description in RNAcentral is "partial 16S ribosomal RNA". It matches the Rfam family "Bacterial small subunit ribosomal RNA", at positions 524 to 792 of the family's 1533-position model. The record is from RNAcentral.
UACGUAGGAGGCGAGCGUUAUCCGGAUUUACUGGGCGUAAAGAGCGUGUAGGCGGCCUUUUAAGUUGAUGGUGAAAGCUCCUGGCUCAACUGGGAGAGGUCUGUCAAUACUGGAGGGCUUGAGGGCAGCAGAGGAGGGUGGAAUUCCCAAAGUAGCGGUGAAAUGCGUAGAUAUUGGGAGGAACACCAGUGGCGAAGGCGACCCUCUGGGCUGUGCCUGACGCUGAGACGCGAAAGCGUGGGGAGCGAAGAGGAUUAGAUACCCGCGUA